Molecule: long non-coding RNA, 900 nt
Filed under: Oncorhynchus mykiss (rainbow trout)
Lineage: Eukaryota; Metazoa; Chordata; Actinopteri; Salmoniformes; Salmonidae
Description: lncRNA (ENSOMYG00000048534.1)
Source: RNAcentral
CUAGUUUUCCUUAUAUUUCUUUGUUAUAUCUAAUUUCAAUUCAUCGUAGUCUACACUAUGAAUUAGCAGGGUUUUGGCACAGUCUCUACCCAUAGAAUCCAAUGAAUAAAACAUGAUUUAUGAAGAUUUAUUGGAUAAAACCAAUCACUGGAGGAAAUGUGAAAAUGACUUGAAUUCAGAUUGUGUAUUUCAGCGUGUUAUUUCUUAUGUAUGUUAUGGUAUACACACUAAGUUUGUUGAUAUGUAGUGUAGACAUUGUUUGAAGAUGCAUGCGAAUUUAAUCUGCUCACCAGAGUAAUUCGCACAUUUUGUCAAUUUCUCUUGUCUUCAAUUGGCAAAUGUAUGUUGCCAUAUAUAACUUUGAAGUACAUUUUCAUGGCACUUGAAUUAAACAUAUUUUUGGCGUCGUAUGCAAAUAUAUGCUGACGUAAAAGAUCAUGUGGUUUUUGUCGUAGAUCUAUGAACGACGACCUUUUUUUUCUUCCUACUGUUGUCUUUAGGUUAUGCCAGAAUCUUUAGAAUUACCAGCGCUAUAUGCGCGUCACCACAGACUACUUAUAAUUGGGAAUUUUACUGCUAGUUUAUCGUCCCAGCACCGAAAGGCUCUAGGCAGAUUCCAGAAGAGGCUACCCAGAGUGCCGCUGGACCGGAGACCAAAGGAGAGCUGGAGAGGGAAGAGAGUGGAGGCGGAACUGGAGCCAGAUAGGACACCUCCACCCAGGGAAGCCCCACCCUACUGCGGAAGUGCAGUGAAUGACAUCUGUGAUGAACUCUAAUGAAGCCGCACACGGGAGCUGACGUCCACAGUCAGCAGGAGACACCACUGCAAACCCAGGACAGAAGUGGAGCAGGGUCUUCCUCAAACACUGGAGACUUACCCUCCCUUUGACCCAAAUAACA